Molecule: ribosomal RNA, 253 nt
Filed under: uncultured bacterium
Lineage: Bacteria
Description: partial 16S ribosomal RNA
Rfam family: Bacterial small subunit ribosomal RNA
Source: RNAcentral
UACGGAGGGUGCGAGCGUUGUCCGGAAUCACUGGGCGUAAAGGGCGCGUAGGUGGCGUCGUAAGUCUGUGGUGAAAGCCCGGAGCUCAACUCCGGGUCUGCCGCGGAUACUGCGAGGCUUGAGUGCUGUAGAGGGGGGUAGAAUGCCGGGUGUAGCGGUGGAAUGCGUAGAGAUCCGGAAGAACACCGGUGGCGAAGGCGGCCUGCUGGGCAGUUGCUGACACUGAGGCGCGACAGCGUGGGGAGCAAACAGG